GAUGAACGCUGGCGGCGUGCCUAACACAUGCAAGUCGAGCGAUUCUCCUCGGAGAAGAGCGGCGGACGGGUGAGUAACGCGUGGGUAACCUGCCCUGUACACACGGAUAACAUACCGAAAGGUAUGCUAAUACGAGAUAAUAUGCUUUUAUCGCAUGGUAGAAGUAUCAAAGCUCCGGCGGUACAGGAUGGACCCGCGUCUGAUUAGCUAGUUGGUAAGGUAACGGCUUACCAAGGCGACGAUCAGUAGCCGACCUGAGAGGGUGAUCGGCCACAUUGGAACUGAGACACGGUCCAAACUCCUACGGGAGGCAGCAGUGGGGAAUAUUGCACAAUGGGCGAAAGCCUGAUGCAGCAACGCCGCGUGAGCGAUGAAGGCCUUCGGGUCGUAAAGCUCUGUCCUCAAGGAAGAUAAUGACGGUACUUGAGGAGGAAGCCCCGGCUAACUACGUGCCAGCAGCCGCGGUAGUAGUCGU
This 475-nucleotide ribosomal RNA is filed under the name uncultured bacterium. RNAcentral's name for it is "bacterial SSU rRNA". It matches the Rfam family "Bacterial small subunit ribosomal RNA", at positions 28 to 528 of the family's 1533-position model. The record is from RNAcentral.